RNAcentral lists this ribosomal RNA (503 nucleotides) under uncultured bacterium. RNAcentral's name for it is "partial 16S ribosomal RNA". It matches the Rfam family "Bacterial small subunit ribosomal RNA", at positions 30 to 523 of the family's 1533-position model. The record is from RNAcentral.
AUUGAACGCUGGCGGCAGGCUUAACACAUGCAAGUCGAGCGGGGUGAUGGUGCUUGCACUAUCACUUAGCGGCGGACGGGUGAGUAAUGCUUAGGAAUCUGCCUAUUAGUGGGGGACAACAUCUCGAAAGGGAUGCUAAUACCGCAUACGUCCUACGGGAGAAAGCAGGGGAUCACUUGUGACCUUGCGCUAAUAGAUGAGCCUAAGUCGGAUUAGCUAGUUGGUGGGGUAAAGGCCUACCAAGGCGACGAUCUGUAGCGGGUCUGAGAGGAUGAUCCGCCGAACUGGGACGGAGACACGGCCCAGACUCCUACGGGAGGCAGCAGUGGGGAAUAUUGGACAAUGGGGGGAACCCUGAUCCAGCCAUGCCGCGUGUGUGAAGAAGGCCUUAUGGUUGUAAAGCACUUUAAGCGAGGAGGAGGCUCUUUUGGUUAAUACCCAGAAUGAGUGGACGUUACUCGCAGAAUAAGCACCGGCUAACUCUGUGCCAGCAGCCGCCGUAA